This 844-nucleotide long non-coding RNA is filed under the name Androctonus crassicauda. The record is from RNAcentral. Lineage: Eukaryota; Metazoa; Arthropoda; Arachnida; Scorpiones; Buthidae.
AGAGAUUAUUGUAAAUGAAGGGAUACAUAUUGGAAAUUUGAUUUUUAAUUUAAUUCUGAUUUUGACUGCAAGCUAUUUAAGAUGUAAUUAAUGAAGAAAUGCAUAUGGAUGUUUAUAAAUUAUUCAGAUAUUUCAUAUAUACUGUAAAUUUAUAAAUAAUUAAGGCUAAAUUUACAAGUUGAACUCUGUUCCAGUUCCUUGGUAAGAAUACAAUAAUUCCAUAUAAGCUUUGAAGCACAGUGGGAACUGUCAAGUGCUUUUAAUUCAGCUUGACUAUCUGAUUGAUUUUAACAUAUUUCCUCUUCUAUCUCAAUAUGAAUAUAUUUAUUAACACUUACAGAAAUAGCAUAGAUUUUUGCCUGAAAAGACAGUGGAAAACUAUCUGAAAGAUUAAGAUAUUUUCAUUUCCUCAUGGCAAAUUCUUACCCUUACAUUAGUAAUAGGUUUAGAGCCAUCUGUAAACCAGACCAGUCCAUCUUGAUAUACUGCAUCCAAAUUCACCUCCCCAGUCCACCAAACUAGGAAAAACAACAUUGAAGGGUUUGAAAAAGUUUAAAGAUUACAUGAUGAUUAGAUUUAUCAUCUCAAGAAUGGCUUUGCAUCUUGUCCCAUUCAAAAGAUGAUCCACUUUGUGGGUCCAAGAAAUCAUUCUCCCACAACAAUGGAUCCUAUAAUAACCCUCCUGAGCACUAGCCUCAAAGUGCAAAUGCCUAAGAGGACGUCAAGAGUAUCUAUCUGUAGGAGCAAAAUCUUUAUAGCUCUUGUGAUGCUCAGACAGGCCAACCUUUUGAAUCUUUUCAAGUUCAGUCCUGCAAGUCUUAAGCAAAAUUCUUUGCAACUAAAA